ACACAGAGAGGAGGUGAUCCGAGGAGUGAUUUCCCAUCGGACGCGUGAGGUGGCUCGCCGCUGAGGCGACCAUCGGUUCUGAAGAAUCGACGGACGCGCAGCGAAUACCACCGAGCUGCCCGGACCCGCAGGCGUCGGCCUCGUCCUCCGACACGCGCAUCGCGCAGCCUGCGGGUCUGCCCAUG
RNAcentral lists this small RNA (185 nucleotides) under Brachybacterium phenoliresistens. RNAcentral describes it as "Actinobacteria sRNA Ms_IGR-5". It matches the Rfam family "Actinobacteria sRNA Ms_IGR-5". The record is from Rfam by way of RNAcentral. Lineage: Bacteria; Bacillati; Actinomycetota; Actinomycetes; Micrococcales; Dermabacteraceae.